GAUGAAGAACGCAGCGAAUUGCGAUAAGUAAUGUGAAUUGCAGAAUUCAGUGAAUCAUCGAAUCUUUGAACGCACCUUGCGCCCUUUGGCUAUUCUGAAGGGCAUGCCUGUUUGAGUAUCGUGAACACCCCAACUCUCAUGGUCUGCCAUGAUGAGCUUGGACUUUGGGGGUCUUGCUGGCCUACUGUCAGCUCCUCUCAAAUGAAUCAGCUUACCAGUGUUUGGUGGCACCACAGGUGUGAUAACUAUCUACGCUUGUGGUUUUCUGCCAGGUAACCUCCAGUGAUGGAGGUUCGCUGGAGCUCACAAAUGUCUCUCCUCAGCGAGGACAGCUUUUUGAACGUUUGAUCUCAAAUCAGGUAGGACUACCCGCUGAACUUAAGCAUAUCAAUAAGCGGAGGA
Molecule: unclassified non-coding RNA, 402 nt
Filed under: soil metagenome
Description: partial contains 5.8S ribosomal RNA, internal transcribed spacer 2, and large subunit ribosomal RNA
Rfam family: 5.8S ribosomal RNA (bases 1-121)
Source: RNAcentral